Long non-coding RNA from Solea solea (common sole), 798 nucleotides. RefSeq lists it as uncharacterized. The transcript is spliced from 2 exons. The record is from RefSeq and is a predicted model, not a curated record. Lineage: Eukaryota; Metazoa; Chordata; Actinopteri; Pleuronectiformes; Soleidae.
CCAAGGUUAAAUAAUCUGUGCUGUUAUUUUGAAAUGCUCCAUGCUGUUAUUUUGAAAGGAUUGUUCCCUCUGCCAGCGGGUUACUUCCUGUUUAUUUUAUCAGCCUGUCGCAUGUCGAGAUGCUGGUUCGACUGACCAAUCAGGUGUCAGCUCUCAUCUAGUUCACCUCCGUAAAAAAAAAGGUUUUCCCUCUCUUGAGAAGCGAGGAGCGAGAGCAAACAUCGAAACACACAGUACAUGAAAGAUAGACAGAAAAACUCUAAAAGUUGAUUAAAAUUGAUGAAAACUGGCUGGAUAGUUUCACUACCAUCCCGUGAGAGAACAGCGAGAAGGAUCUGUCCUCACUAGAGGAGUAAUAACGCAUCGGUCAGGUUUUUUGUGGAUCCCGAGAGUUCCCGAUCUACCUGGAGUUGGAGCUAGACGUUUGAUGGCGAGCUACGGCCCAAUGGAGAAGAAUUAGUGAAUCAAUUGCAUGCAGAAGAUUGGAAUCCUGAACCCCAGAAACUUUGCUUCCACGCACACAGUCAACGCAUUCAACAGUGCGGUAGGAUAAACAGUUGCCACUUUUCCAGUGGACUGGGCAGUAUUACCUGCUGCAAGGACUAAGUGUUUGAGUUUGAAGGGUUAAAUUGAAUAUUGAACCAAAGACUAUUUAAACAGCUGUGAAUUGUUUUCUUAUUUUUUUAUUUUUCAUAUCUACCCGGGUAACAAUUGUACAAAUUAUUUACACUGUAACUGUUUUCUAUUCAUCCUUCCCUGUUUUAUUAAAUGGGAAGAGGAGUUCUUUCUAAAAGGAGA